UAGACAUGGGAUGCCAUGAACUGGUCC
This 27-nucleotide non-coding RNA is filed under the name Homo sapiens (human). The record is from RNAcentral. Lineage: Eukaryota; Metazoa; Chordata; Mammalia; Primates; Hominidae.